AAAAGGUUUGGUCCUAGCCUUAUUAUCAGUUUUUUCUUGAAUUACACAUGCAAGUCUCAGCACACCCGUGAGGAUACCCUUAUACCCUUAACCAGGCCAAGGAGAUGGCAUCAGGCACAACACCUGCCCACAACGCCUAGUCCCACCACACCCCCAAGGGCACUCAGCAGUGAUAAAUAUUGCUCAUAAGCUAUAGCUUGAAUCAGUUAAAGAAAGUAGAGCCGGCCAACUCGGUGCCAGCCGCCGCGGCUAAACCGCACGGACUCAAAUUGAUAGUUGUCGGCGUUAAGCGUGAUUAAAGUUCCUCUCAAUUAGAAUAAAACCUACCCUUAGCUGUGAAAAGCUUGAUGCUAGAGAAAACCAUAAACGAAAGUUAUUCU
Molecule: ribosomal RNA, 380 nt
Filed under: Quasipaa shini (spiny-flanked frog)
Lineage: Eukaryota; Metazoa; Chordata; Amphibia; Anura; Dicroglossidae
Description: partial 12S ribosomal RNA
Source: RNAcentral